GAAGUAGAUAGCUUAACCGCAAGGGGGGCGUUUACCACGGUAUGAUUCAUGACUGGGGUGAAGUCGUAACAAGGUAACCGUAGGGGAACCUGCGGUUGGAUCACCUCCUUA
This 111-nucleotide non-coding RNA is filed under the name Targowskia paracuniculus. RNAcentral describes it as "Haemophilus paracuniculus Bacterial small subunit ribosomal RNA". It matches the Rfam family "Bacterial small subunit ribosomal RNA", at positions 1423 to 1533 of the family's 1533-position model. Lineage: Bacteria; Pseudomonadati; Pseudomonadota; Gammaproteobacteria; Pasteurellales; Pasteurellaceae. The record is from Rfam by way of RNAcentral.